RNAcentral lists this long non-coding RNA (2390 nucleotides) under Salmo salar (Atlantic salmon). RNAcentral describes it as "lncRNA (ENSSSAG00000098073.1)". The record is from RNAcentral. Lineage: Eukaryota; Metazoa; Chordata; Actinopteri; Salmoniformes; Salmonidae.
CAAAAACGCAUUAUACAUAGUCACACUGUCACUACUGCCUACACCUUAGCUAGCUUAGCUUUCUACUGCAUCGAUCUAUUCCUGGGAGAGAGAUUUCACUAGAUUUUUAAAUAGUAAAGUUUAGCUGAGAGCUGGUUCAGACAGCACAGACAGCAACUCAGACGAGCUCAACGAAGUUGAGCCCCUUGAGGAGGCAACCGAGGAAGACCACCCAUUAAUGGUGGAGCCGUAAAUUACGGUUCUUCAGUCUGUCAAGGGGGAAUAUGUCAGUGAUGCUGGGCAAGAAAUUCAAAAGUCUCGUGAGUUCACUUGCAAGUCCAACAAAGUAAAGCCAUGCUAUUUGCUUUUUACCCCGGAGGAGAUAGUCAAGAGACGUGACCAGAUGAAUGAACUCACCAAUGUUCACUCAGAGAUGGUAUGUAUGCUGGUUGAUGGUACCUGCAGGCCUGUUUGAGGGACAACUGGACAGAACAUAUCAGAAUUUUUGGACUUCAGCUGAGACCCUCCUCUCCUUCCCUGUCCUCCUUUACACAUCCUGUUAGGAAAGCUCCUUCUUUACACUUCCUGUUAGGCAAGAUGCUCUCAAGGGGUGUCUCUUCAAUUCUCAAAUGUCGUGUGGUAUUCCCUAUAGAUGACCCUUACAAGCUUUCAGAUUGCUUGCCUGUGAAUGGUUGUCCUCAUAAUCAGGCUAUUUACUUGUUACAUGGGUGUUUAAAUACUGAGUCUCUCUUACGGAAUUUAAUUGAUUCCUCAACUGCCCCAUGCUUUCCUUCUCUCCAUUAUAUAUUAGGGGAAGUUGUUUUGCUGUUGGCACCAAUCCCAUGCUGCCAGAUCAACUACUUCAUCCUCUCAUACUCAACUUUGCUCGCUCUUGUUCAACUACCCUUUGAUUAAAUCCAUUUCAUUCAAUGUUUACAUUUUCUUCAAGUGUGGCUUUUACUUAAUAGUUGACAGAUGGCACUUGUAUGCAGGAAUGUGGGUGUGGGGGGAAAGAGUGGACAGAUGGGUGUACAUAGGUUUAACUGAAGAAACUCCCGCCUCUCCUUCUCUUGAUAAGAAAUAAAAGUUAAUGUAAUUGAUUCAAAAUCAAAUCUAAUGGAAUAUUUUAUAAAUUACAAGCUAAGACAAAAUGAGAUUAAGAUGUUACUUUGUCUUUACACAUCUAUUCACUACUGGCCAAAUGCAUUCACCAUCCACUUCAGCUAGCGUUUCCAUUUUUUAGGCCUGUUUACAUGUGAAAGGCUGUAUUAUUAUGCCUAUGGUACUGUAUGCACAAUAAGGUAUUCAAUAUAUUUUUUAAUCUGACCUGAGUUGAAGUUAGUAUCAUUAAUCCUACAUCAAGUCUCAAAUAUAGCUGAAUUGCGGUGUAUUUACAGAAUAACCCGUGCUGUACAAUUUUUAUUCACCAGAUGGCAGUAAUGUGAGAGUUCUAUUAACCUUUCAAGUACAGAGCAAAUGUCAAAAUUCAUGAAAUUCCCUGAAUGUUGAGCCCCCAACUCCUGUCACUCACACCAUGAAAUAUCUUAAACAUAUACAGUUGGCAUGGGGCGCAUGCCAUGAUUUAUAGACAAUGACACUUAAAUUAUUGGUUGGAGAAAUAUUAUUUGUUGUAUCUCUUCAAGGUAUAGCCAAGAAUCCUGAAAAAGAGAACGUUGGAUUGAAUAGCGCAUUCCGUUUGCCAACAAUACUGUACUUUGACAAAGUCGAGUGUUCGUUGUGCAUGCCAGUUACUAAAACAAUGUAACUUGUUAAUCAUGUUUCUAUCGUGUAUAAAGCUGCCCAUUUAAACGUACAUGCUCUAGCAAUGUGAAAUAUAUUAUUAGAAUAAAGACCGAAGUGUUGGUAGAGUAUAAUCAUAUAAUUUAACCUACCUCGUGUGUAAGAAGCGCCGCGCUACUUCCUUGUUGAAGAAAAGGUGUGCAUUACGCUUGACGCAAAUUAGUCUACGAAUCAUUGAGGAACAUUUAUCAAUUGACUGGAAUAAACAAAUUGAUGAAUUAUCCCGUGGGUGAAUAACUUAAUGAAUGUGUAUUGCGUGAUUUAAAGAAGAAGGUAUGCCACAAAUUAUUGCAGUGUGUGUUAAUGUAAAACUGUUGUUUAUGAUGGUAUAUGUCCAUGGGAAAUUACGCAUCUAUGGUAGAAAUGUGCUUUGGGGCUAUCAAGAUGGAACAUUCCUAGCUGAAGGGAUUUCCUGGAAAUAGUAUUUAGGUGCUCAGUUUUUUUUUUUAUGCCUUGGGGAGAGCAGGCUGAGUUUGAGUAAUAGGCAAAGAGUUGUUGCCGCAAUAGUUUAUACUGAGAAUAUCUUAGAUUUUUUCAAGUCCUGAUUGUUAUUUUCUGUACAAAGUGUGUUGGCCAAUUAAUCCUGCACCUGUUAAUAUUGUAAAUAAAAG